Molecule: ribosomal RNA, 398 nt
Filed under: uncultured bacterium
Lineage: Bacteria
Description: partial 16S ribosomal RNA
Rfam family: Bacterial small subunit ribosomal RNA
Source: RNAcentral
AUACGUAGGGUGCGAGCGUUGUCCGGAAUUACUGGGCGUAAAGAGCUCGUAGGUGGUUUGUCGCGUCGUCUGUGAAAUUCCGGGGCUUAACUCCGGGCGUGCAGGCGAUACGGGCAUAACUUGAGUACUGUAGGGGAGACUGGAAUUCCUGGUGUAGCGGUGAAAUGCGCAGAUAUCAGGAGGAACACCGGUGGCGAAGGGGGUUCUCUGGGAAUAAACGGACGCUGAGGAUCCAAAGCAUGGGUGGCGAACAGGAUUAGAUACCCUGGUGGCGCAUGCCGUAAACGGUGGUCUCUAGUUGUAGGGGUCUUCCACGAUUUCUGUGCCGUAGCUAACGCAUUAAGCGCCCCGCCUGGGGAGUACGGCCGCAAGGCUAAAACUCAAAUGAAUUUGUGGGG